This 205-nucleotide long non-coding RNA is filed under the name Lathyrus oleraceus (garden pea). RNAcentral's name for it is "Pisum sativum (pea) long non-coding RNA (PSAT_LNC024876)". The record is from RNAcentral. Lineage: Eukaryota; Viridiplantae; Streptophyta; Magnoliopsida; Fabales; Fabaceae.
UACAACAAGCCCUCCAUUUUUUAUUAACAAGCUUUUCUUUUUCUGUUUCUCAGAAUUCUCUGGCAAGCACUGAGAAUAAUUUUUUGUUGGGGGAGAAAGGGGUGAAAUAUUUUUAUUUUAUUUUCUGAAAAAUGGUUUUCCAUGUGGGACCUGGACUCUGAUGUGAUGGUUAGGGUAUUGAGACUUUUUAACCAAAGGGUUAAAC